CGUUAUUUGACAGUUGUUUGACGGUUGUUUUGAUCUGCGGAUUAAAGGCGCUUGAAACCUGGCGUGAAGAGUCGUUAAGAGGGUAAACAAACAUAAAAAGCAGUGCUCGACGGAGCCAAUGUUGUGACUGGUGAUCAACUUUGCCGUCAUUCCUGUUACAGUUCGGGCCACAGAGCACCUGCUGUAGUUAUUCUUGUGUACUCUUUUUCUUAAAUUUGAUCUUUUUCUCCAUUUUUGUUUUGUUUACACUUGUUUUCUUUCGUGAUUUUGGAAGAUCGGAAAGUGACUGGCUAAAAGAAGCAUCUAGAUGGCAUAAUAGAUCCACAUUUUGUUUUUGUUUUUUUUAUCUUCCUGAUUACCAUUUUUUUUUUUAAAUCUGAAAUCCUGAGUUACAUUUUUGUUUUGGAAUAAAGAACCCAAAGACAGUUUUGUGUCCUGUGCAGGCUUGAAUUCGCCAGGCUACACAAUUUGGUACCAGGAGUGGGGUUCUGCAAAAUUAGAAACUCAGGAGUUUUUUCAAUAUAAUAAAAAACAUAUAAAAAAAAAAAAAAAAAAA
Long non-coding RNA from Oryzias latipes (Japanese medaka), 556 nucleotides. RefSeq lists it as uncharacterized. Lineage: Eukaryota; Metazoa; Chordata; Actinopteri; Beloniformes; Adrianichthyidae. The record is from RefSeq and is a predicted model, not a curated record.